RNAcentral lists this ribosomal RNA (384 nucleotides) under uncultured bacterium. RNAcentral's name for it is "bacterial SSU rRNA". It matches the Rfam family "Bacterial small subunit ribosomal RNA", at positions 29 to 416 of the family's 1533-position model. The record is from RNAcentral.
AUUGAACGCUGGCGGCAUGCCUUACACAUGCAAGUCGAACGGUAACGCGGGGCAACCUGGCGACGAGUGGCGAACGGGUGAGUAAUAUAUCGGAACGUGCCCAAUAGUGGGGGAUAGCCCGGCGAAAGCCGGAUUAAUACCGCAUACGACCUGAGGGUGAAAGCGGGGGAUCGCAAGACCUCGCGCUAUUGGAGCGGCCGAUAUCAGAUUAGGUAGUUGGUGGGGUAAAAGCCUACCAAGCCUACGAUCUGUAGCUGGUCUGAGAGGACGACCAGCCACACUGGGACUGAGACACGGCCCAGACUCCUACGGGAGGCAGCAGUGGGGAAUUUUGGACAAUGGGCGCAAGCCUGAUCCAGCCAUGCCGCGUGCGGGAAGAAGGCC